GGGCCCAUAGCUCAACGGCAGAGCAGCGGACUCAUAAUCCGUUUGUUGGGGGUUCGAAUCCCUCUGGGCCCACCA
Molecule: transfer RNA, 75 nt
Filed under: Planctomycetota bacterium
Lineage: Bacteria; Pseudomonadati; Planctomycetota
Also listed under: 1 other name
Description: Planctomycetes bacterium (salt lake metagenome) tRNA-Ile
Rfam family: tRNA
About the family: Transfer RNA (tRNA) molecules are approximately 80 nucleotides in length. Their secondary structure includes four short double-helical elements and three loops (D, anti-codon, and T loops).
Source: RNAcentral